Molecule: long non-coding RNA, 200 nt
Filed under: Homo sapiens (human)
Lineage: Eukaryota; Metazoa; Chordata; Mammalia; Primates; Hominidae
Description: HSALNT0302353
Source: RNAcentral
UUGAACCCGGGAGGUGGAGGUUGCAGUGAGCCGAGAUGGCACCAUUGCACUCCGGCCUGGGCCACAAGAACGAAACUCCAUCUCAAAAAAAAAAAAAAAAGAAAAAAAAAAACAAAAGACAAAAAAAAAAUAAGCGUAACUUCCCUCAAAGCAACAACCCCCCCCCCCCUUUUCAUAUUCUUGCCUGGAAGAAAGGCCUU